This 301-nucleotide ribosomal RNA is filed under the name uncultured bacterium. Its description in RNAcentral is "partial 16S ribosomal RNA". It matches the Rfam family "Bacterial small subunit ribosomal RNA", at positions 509 to 809 of the family's 1533-position model. The record is from RNAcentral.
CAGCAGCCACGGUAAUACGGAGGAUCCAAGCGUUAUCCGGAAUCAUUGGGUUUAAAGGGUCCGUAGGCGGUCUUGUAAGUCAGUGGUGAAAGCCCAUCGCUCAACGGUGGAACGGCCAUUGAUACUGCAGGACUUGAAUUAUUGGGAAGUAACUAGAAUAUGUAGUGUAGCGGUGAAAUGCUUAGAGAUUACAUGGAAUACCAAUUGCGAAGGCAGGUUACUACCAAUUGAUUGACGCUGAUGGACGAAAGCGUGGGUAGCGAACAGGAUUAGAUACCCGUGUAGUCCCUGUCUCUUAUAA